GGAGAGGGUGGGACUCCAGCAAGUGCGCUUUAUCCUUCCUCUCCAGAGACGAGCCAGGUACAAACAGCAGCUGACAGCCCACCGCCAGCAGACUCCAGCGACUCCAGCAGACCACGGCCUCCAUCGCUGCAGCUCCAGCUCGUAGAAUGAGUUACUACUUGGAUCCAGUUUCCUCCUGUCAGGCUCUUCAACCGCCUGACUGUCUGGGUGUAAUGAGGUCGAGUGGUGGGAUGGCAGUGACUCUGGUUCCUCACAUGCAGCCUCCC
Long non-coding RNA from Carassius carassius (crucian carp), 266 nucleotides. RefSeq lists it as uncharacterized. The record is from RefSeq and is a predicted model, not a curated record. Lineage: Eukaryota; Metazoa; Chordata; Actinopteri; Cypriniformes; Cyprinidae. The transcript is spliced from 3 exons.